UGGGGAAUUUUGGACAAUGGGCGAAAGCCUGAUCCAGCAAUGCCGCGUGUGUGAAGAAGGCCUUCGGGUUGUAAAGCACUUUUGUCCGGAAAGAAAUCCUUGGCUCUAAUACAGUCGGGGGAUGACGGUACCGGAAGAAUAAGCACCGGCUAACUACGUGCCAGCAGCCGCGGUAAUACGUAGGGUGCAAGCGUUAAUCGGAAUUACUGGGCGUAAAGCGUGCGCAGGCGGUUUGCUAAGACCGAUGUGAAAUCCCCGGGCUCAACCUGGGAACUGCAUUGGUGACUGGCAGGCUAGAGUAUGGCAGAGGGGGGUAGAAUUCCACGUGUAGCAGUGAAAUGCGUAGAGAUGUGGAGGAAUACCGAUGGCGAAGGCAGCCCCCUGGGCCAAUACUGACGCUCAUGCACGAAAGCGUGGGGAGCAAACAGGAUUAGAUACCCUGGUAGUCCACGCCCUAAACGAUGUCAACUAGUUGUUGGGGAUUCAUUUCCUUAGUAACGUAGCUAACGCGUGAAGUUGACCGCCUGGGGAGUACGAUCGCAAGAUUAAAACUUAAAUGAAUUGACGGGGUCAUAGCUG
Molecule: ribosomal RNA, 579 nt
Filed under: uncultured bacterium
Lineage: Bacteria
Description: partial 16S ribosomal RNA
Rfam family: Bacterial small subunit ribosomal RNA
Source: RNAcentral